AAUUACCAGCGGCCGAAUCCCCGCCAUGCAGAAGGCGGGGUACGGGGGAAUCUCUAUCCCGAGCGGGGUGAAUCCACGCGUUUUGAGGAGGUGAGGGCAGGACGCGUGGAAGGGUGUACCCUCUACCCGAACCCAUCAGCUAACCCCGGAGGCCCGAGGAGGGGAAAG
This 168-nucleotide small RNA is filed under the name Desulfofundulus australicus. RNAcentral describes it as "Desulfotomaculum australicum c-di-AMP sequence". It matches the Rfam family "c-di-AMP riboswitch aptamer (ydaO/yuaA leader)". Rfam says of the family: This family represents a conserved RNA structure found upstream of the ydaO and yuaA genes in Bacillus subtilis and related genes in other bacteria. The record is from RNAcentral. Lineage: Bacteria; Bacillati; Bacillota; Clostridia; Eubacteriales; Peptococcaceae.